GAGAGUCUUAGAGGAGCAUUGCAGGCAGACCUGUGGUCCAUCAGCAAGCCCUGCUCCCCAUUCAGCCUCUUGGAGAGCGACCGCAUCACCUUAGCACUGCCGAAUCGCUUGAAUCGGGAACGAAUGUUGUUAUGGAACCAGUCCAACGUGCCUGUCUUCAAUACCCUGUGUGAGCAGGAGGAUGGCGCUCAUGAGCAUGUCACACGUUCCAUACAGAGGAGAAGAUCCUGAGGAAACGAACGGAUUGCCAGUCCAUCUGCAAUGGCGGGAGCCUUCGCCAAAAAUCACAGAACGGCAGCACGACUCCUUAAUCCAAUAAGCAAGCUUCAGGCUUACAUUUCGGCUGCUUGUUGAUGUAGAAGAUUCCCUGACUGGGUCAUGGACUUAAGCUCUCCUGUAUUUGUGUCCCUGGUUUGCUCUGGCAUGGAAUACAAAUGCACUGUGCAUCCAAAAUAAAACCUUGUGACUGUAUAAAUGACCCCCAGAAGGCUUUCCUGGGUUUUUGCUGACAAUAUCCCUUCCAUAGCCUGGUUACAGCUUCCCUUAUAAUCACUGUCCACCGGUGAUUUGGG
Long non-coding RNA from Brienomyrus brachyistius, 572 nucleotides. RefSeq lists it as uncharacterized. The transcript has 3 exons. NCBI's taxonomy places the organism in Eukaryota, Metazoa, Chordata, Actinopteri, Osteoglossiformes, Mormyridae. The record is from RefSeq and is a predicted model, not a curated record.